Long non-coding RNA from Gorilla gorilla gorilla (western lowland gorilla), 799 nucleotides. RefSeq lists it as uncharacterized. The transcript has 6 exons. Lineage: Eukaryota; Metazoa; Chordata; Mammalia; Primates; Hominidae. The record is from RefSeq and is a predicted model, not a curated record.
CUUCUGAGGUCAAGCCAUCCACUCACAGGACUUCUUCUCAAGCUGGAGCCCUUAGUUGAGCUGAUUUUACACAAUCGAGUAGAGAAAGAAAAUGGCUUUUUGUGCUCUUCCUCAGCAAUCUGAUCCUAUGCGAUAUAUAUUGAAGCACGACUUUCACAGAUCAAAUAAGGCCUUUACUAACCCACUGUGUGAUUCAGAAGAGGGUGAUCAAGAAAGUGAGUGACCUAGAGAACACACCACGGGAUAACCAAUCAACACAGACAAGGGCCUGAUGUUUGACAGCCAUCUAAUGAGCUAAAUGAAUUCUACAAAUUCUGCUCUACCAUGUUGGAUUUGCUCUUGUGGAUAAUACUCAGCAGACCACUACAAUUUCUAUAGAGAUGGAGUUUCACCAUGUUGCCCAGACUGGUCUUGAACUCCCGGGCUCAAGCAAUCUUCCUGCCUCGGCCUCCCAAAGUGCUCGGAUUACAGGGGUGAGCCACCCUUCCCAGCCUGAAAAGACAAGCAGAACAACUCUUAAUAGUAGACAACUUCACCAGGAGAACAGCAGUUCAGUACAACAGGAAGGCCAGUGUCUCCCCAGUACCACCUGCCUGAGCUACUACAAGGGUUCCCCUAACAGAGAUGCCUGCCUCUAUCCAUCCUCCUACAGCCCAUUCUCCAGUCAGCAACUACAGGCAUCUGUGAAAAUAUCAGAUCGUAUCACAUUACUCUUCAGCUAAAAGUACUCCAGUGGCUUCAAUAUGUACUAAGAAUAAAACGCAAACUUCUGGUCAUUGCCCACAAGGCUCCUUCAUGC